GCGCGUACGAGAGUGCUAGCGUUGGGGGGCUUCACCCCUCGGUGCCGGCGUUAACGCAUUAACCACUCCGCCUGGGGAGUACGGCCGCAAGGCUUAAACUCAAAGGAAUUGACGGGGACCCGCACAAGCGGUGGAGCAUGUGGUUUAAUUCGAAGCAACGCGAAGAACCUUACCAGCUCUUGACAUCUUCUGACAGCUCUAGAGAUAGAGUGUUCCCUUCGGGGACAGAAUGACAGGUGGUGCAUGGUUGUCGUCAGCUCGUGUCGUGAGAUGUUGGGUUAAGUCCCGUAACGAGCGCAACCCUUGUUGUCAGUUGCCAGCAUUUAGUUGGGCACUCUGGCGAGACUGCCGGUGACAAACCGGAGGAAGGUGGGGAUGACGUCAAAUCAGCAUGCCCCUUAUGAGCUGGGCUACACACGUGCUACAAUGGACGGUACAGCGAGUCGCUAAACCGCGAGGUCAAGCAAAUCUCCUAAAGCCAUUCUCAGUCCGGAUUGCAGGCUGCAACUCGCCUGCAUGAAGCCGGAAUCGCUAGUAAUCGUGGAUCAGAACGCCACGGUGAAUACGUUCCCGGGUCUUGUACACACCGCCCGUCACACCACGAGAGUUCGUAACACCCGAAGUCGGUCGAGCAACUUUAUAGAGCCAGCCGCCGAAGGUGGGAUGGAUGAUUGGGGUGAA
This 681-nucleotide ribosomal RNA is filed under the name uncultured bacterium. Its description in RNAcentral is "bacterial SSU rRNA". It matches the Rfam family "Bacterial small subunit ribosomal RNA", at positions 800 to 1484 of the family's 1533-position model. The record is from RNAcentral.